Molecule: long non-coding RNA, 3692 nt
Filed under: Homo sapiens (human)
Lineage: Eukaryota; Metazoa; Chordata; Mammalia; Primates; Hominidae
Description: HSALNT0384660
Source: RNAcentral
GUCAGAGAAGUGAAGUAACUUGUUUACAGUCACACAGCCAAGCCAAACUUCCUGCCUCCCAGCUUACAAACAGAGCAGUGGGUCCACCCAUCUUGAUCCUGGGGUACUGACAAGAAAUAUUUUGGAGAAGUUAGAUAGGGUAGAGGCAGAAGUAGACGCAAUUAAACAUGAAGGAUUGUGAAGGCAAAAGAUGAACCAGCCAGCCUAGUCUCUGGAUGCAUAAGCUCCAAGUGUGGAGGAGACCCGGAGAGAAAAGCAGACUGUUCUCUGUGUUUACCUGUAAGCACAGGCCGCAACCUGCCAUGCUGUUUUUAAAUGCCCAAGAGCUGGUGACAAGAGGGUUUCCCUUUGCCAUCUGGACCUGAUUGCCUUAGAGCAUCCUACCCAGCUUCUAAUCUAAGCUCAAACACACCCUCCUUCAGGAAGAUUUGCUGUUCUACCUUCUCCCCACCAAGCAGAGUGAAGGGAUUCUUCUUUGGAACUCCCACUCUCCUUUAUUUAUCUCCAGAUGGAUGAAAAAGGAAGAGGGUUUCUGUUUUGCUAAAAGCCCUCUGUGAAAGUCGACAUUGCAAACCACAGUGACACGUGGAUAAAACUCACGUUGUUGGGGGGAGAAGAGCAAAACAUAUGCUUCACAAUAAAAACACUCAGUAUCCUAGGAAUAGGAGGGAACUUCCUCAACCAGAUAAAGGGCAUCUAUGAAAAACCCAGAGCUAACAUCACACUUAAUCGUGAAAGACUGAAAGCUUUCCCUCUAAAAUCAGAAACAAGAAAAGGAUGUCUACUACUGCCACUGCUAUUCAACAUUGUUCUGGAAAAUUCUAGGCAGAACAAGUAGGCAAGAGAAAAGAAGAGGUAUCCAGAUUGGAAAGGAAGAAAUAAAACUGUCUCUGUUUGACAGUUGUCAUAACCUUGUACAUAGAAGAUUAUGAAGAAGCUACCAAAAACUAUUUGAAUGACUAAACAAGUUUAGUAUGGUUGCAGGAUACAAGAUCAAUAUGCAAAAACCAGCUGUAGUUCUUCUAUAUGUUGAAAAGAAGAAAAUUUAGAACGAAAUUAAGAAAAAUUCAUUCACAAGAGCAUCAAAAAGGAUAAAAAAUAAGGCCAGGCAUGGUGGCUCAUGCCAGUUAAUCCCAGCACUAUGGGAGGCUGAGGAAGGAGGAUCACUCAAGCCCAGGAGUUUGAGACCACCUGAGCAACACGGCAAGACUCUAUCUCUACCAAAAAUUUUAAAAAAUUAGCCAGGUGUAGUGGCCAUGCCUGCAGUCCUAGUUACUCAGGAGGUUGAGGUGGGAGGAUCACUUGAACUCAGGAGAUUGAGGCUGCAGUGAGCUAUGAUCUGGCCACUGUACUCCAGCCUGGGUGUCAGAGAGAGAGACCCUGUCUCUAAAUGAAAAUAAAUAAAUACAUAAAAUUUUAAAAAAGAAUGAAAUACUUAGGAAUACAUUUAACCAAAGAAGUAUGAGGCUUUUUACAUUGCAAAACUAUAUAACAUUGUUGAAAGAAACUAAAGAAGACCUAAAUAAAUGGAAAGACAUCCCAUGUUUAUAGAUGGAAAAGUUUAAUAUUAAGAUAGCAAAACUUCUCAAAUUGAUCUACAGAUUCAAUGCCAUCCUUUCAAAAUACCAGCUAACUUUUUUGCAGAAGUUAACAAACCAAUCCUAAAAUUCAUAUGGAAAUUCAAGAGAAUCAGAGCAGUUAACCUUCAAAAAGAACAAAGUUGGAGGGUUCAUACUUCCUGAGUACUAAAACUUAGUACAAAGCUAUAGUAAUCAGAUACUAUGAAAUUGACAUAAGGACAGACAUAUAGAUCACUUGACUAGGCUUGACAGUCCAGAAAUAAACCUUCACAUUUCUGAUCAAUUGAUUUUCUACGAGGCAGCCAACACAAUUCUGUUUUAAAUAUGGUGGUAGGACAACGGAGUAGCUACAUUCAAAAGAAUGAAGUGAGACCCUUAACUCACACCAUAAACAAAAACUAAUUCAAAAUGGAUCAAAGACCUAAAUGCAAGCAUUAAAACUAUAAAACUCUUAGAAGAAAACAUAGGAGGAAAUCUUCAUGACCUUGGAUUAGUCAAUGGAUUCUAAGAUAUGAUACCCAAAGCAUAAGCAACAAAAGAAAAAAUAGAAAAAUUGGACUUUAUUUUUUUAAGAGAUGGGGUCUUGUUAUGUUGCCCAGGCUGGACUUGAAAUCCUAGGCUCAAGUGAUCCUCCUACCUCAGCCUCCUGAGUUGCUGGGACUACAAACAUGUACCGCCAUGCCCAGCUAAAUUGGACUUUAAAAUGGAAAACUUUUGUGCUUCAAAGACGUCAAAAAAGUGAAGACAACCCACAGAAUGAGAGAAAAUUUUCACAAAUUGUAUAUCUGAUAAGAGACUUGUGCCUAGAAUCUAUAAAGAAUGAUUACCACUCAAUAAUAAAAAGACAAAUAACCCCAUUAAAAACAGGCAAAGGAUCUGAAUAGACGUUUCUCCAAAGAAGAUAAAUAAAUGGCCGAUAAACACUUGAAAAGAUGCUCAACAUCAUUUGCCAUCAGGGAAAAGCAAAUCAAAACCAUGAUGAGAUGAUGAGAUACCACUUCACACCCACUAGGGUGGCUAUAAUAAAAAAGACAGAUCGUAAUAACUGUUGGCAAGGAGGUAGUGAAAUUCGAACCAUCAUCACACAUUGCUGGUGGGAAUGUAAAGUAGCACAGAGCUUUGAAAAACUGUUUGGCAGUUUCUCAAAAACUUAGAGUUACCAUAUGACUCAGCAACUUCCCUCGUAGGUAUAUAGAAGAGAAAUGAAAACAUAUGUCCACACAAAAACUUGUACAUGAAUGUUCAUAGCCGUAUUAUUCAUAAUAGCCAAAAGUGGAAAUCACCCAAAUGGUAAACUGAUGAGUGAAUAAAUAAAAUGUGCUUUAUACAUAUGAUGAAACAUUCUUUGUCAAUAAUGAAGAACUGAUCCCUGCCGCAACAUGGGGGAACUUAAAAGCAUGAUGUUAAGUGAAGGAAGUCAGAUUCAAAGGUCCAUGAUUCCAUUAUAAAUGGCAUUCCAUCUGUGGAAUUCCAUAUAUGGAACGUCUAGAAUAGGAACACUUCCUUUCUAUAGAGACAGAAAGGAAAUUAGGAGUUGCCAAGAGAGGAUGGGGAGACUGGUGGGUGAUGGCUGAGAAGGUGGCCGUGUUUCUUUUUGGGGUAACGAAAGUGUUCUGAAAUUGAUUGUAGUGAUGGCAGUACAACUCUGAAUUUACUGAAAGCCAUUGACUUGUACAUUUUAAAUUGGUGACUUGUACGGUGUACGAAUUACAUCUCAAUAAAGCUGGUUUUCUUUUCUUUGUUUCUUUAUUUUAAUAGACAGGGUCUCACUCUGUUGCCCAGGCCGGAGUGCAGUGGUGCGAUCAUAGCUCACUGCAGCCUUGAACUCUUGAGCUCAAGCAAUCCCCCCACCUCAGCCUCCCAAGUAGCUGAGACUAUAGGCAUUUGCCACCAUACCCAGCUAAUUUUGUUUAUUUUUUGUAGAGAUGAGGUCUUGCUAUGUUGCCCAGGCUGGUCUUGAACUCCUUGGCUCAAGUAAUCCUCUUGCCUUGGCCUUCCAAAUUGCUGGAAUUACAGGCAUGAGCCACCACACCCAGCUAAUAAAGCUCUUUAAAAAAAAAAAAGUUGCAUAUGGAUACAUACAACAUAUCAUUUAUAUGAAAAUAUUGAAAC